GUUCUCAGAGGCACACGCGUUUUUUAUUAUUUCCCUGGUGGUGCUCCUGGAAGCGGCUAAUGAUACUUACGGAGGCAAUGGGCAUCUGUGGCUCAGGAGAUAGCAGCCGAAGAUGAGGUUCGAUCCCUGGCUCCUCCGGCCUGCAUGUCAUUGGACAAGACAACCCCAAAUUGUUUCCAGAGGCUGGAUUAUCAGCGUGUGGGUGUACAUGAAUAAGCUCGAGAUUAGAUCCUGAUGAGAAGUCUGGCCCGUGUAUACGGCUGCUCCUGCCACCAACUCCCCCUCGUCCCAGUGGCCUCUAAUGGCAAAACACAGAGGGUCACAAAAGCACCUGGCUACGGCACGCAGCAUGUUGGAAGUGGCAGCUGUUGCCUCCGUCAGUGUGUGCAACUACGGCUGACAGCGUGGCGGGGAAGGCGUGGGAAACUGGCAGAUCGGGUCAAGGUUGCUUCUGUGCAUGAACUCUGAACAUCCGGACGAGCAUCACGGUACAAUGAAAAAGGUUUUUUAAUAUAUCCGUUUGGCUGGGGAUGUAAUUCUGAUGUAUAUUUGACAGCGCCUCCAGAUGGCGGUGGCCAAGGGGACAGGGCCACAUGACCGCCUCUUUCUCCGCGGUCCGUGCUGCGGAGGAAGACAGCAGUGCGGUUGCUGUCUGCACUGACAGAUUGCUUGAGAGGACGCCUGUCUAAAUAAAGUUGUGGGUCACUGCAGGGCAUUUCAUCUGUGCUGCUGCCCCUUAUGCUGGACACGAAGAGCCCGGAUGGACGUUUUGAUUUGAUAAACGGUGCAUAGUCACAGCACAUCAUGCAGACUUCAACUGCGUUAUUCAAAUUCUGCUUGUAAAGGUUACUGGGAGGAAAUCACUCCUUUGAAUCUCCUGUCAUACAGCUGCACAUUUUUCAUGGUUAUGAAGACCUCCUCCGCGGCCGUCACGAGCACAGCGAAUCCAGCAAAGGAGCCGCAUGACUUAUUUGAGGAGAAAGGGUUGUUGAGGUAAACGCAUGGCAGACAUUCCGCCAGCACCUCCGCUCUGUAUGUUUUUUUUUUUUUUAAAAGAACAUUCCAGUAAACACGAGAUUUAAUAUUCACAAGCUGGGCUUCUAAGUGAUAACCAGUGUGAAUGCUUUUAUUAAAAUACAGUAUUACUGAUGAACCUCUGGGUUUAUUGUAUUCAUUUUGCAAGAAAAUCAUGAAGUUCCUGCGCCCAGUAGUAACAGCCCACUGCAACGCAAGCAUCUAUUGUCAUUUCAGUGCAAAAGAACAUGGACAUGUAAAACAAAACUGUACUGUAUUUAACCCAUGUGAUUGGAAUAGAUCUAAAGAGCUCCUGUUAUAAUGGAGAGGAAGCCAUCUGGUAAUCAUGGUCUGGAAAGAGCACAAGCAAUCAAGCCCUUGUUCUACCACUUUGGCAGACUGGAAGUAAAAGGCUUACAUGGACGCAGAUCAGUCCACCAGCUUGAAGGUGAACAUCACAUGCGAAACAGAGGGAAAAGAAGGAAUCUGACACAGAAAACAGAUGCCGACACCAACGGCGAGACACACAGCGGAAGAAGAUCAACUGCGUCUUCUUGGCUUUCAUCAGAGUUUGUCAGGAAAGAAAAUAUGUCUCUGCUCUCUCACAGCCCCCAGGGGUUUAUUUGUAAAUGUCACACUUGUCAAACUGUCAGCAACUGUAUAUUCCGCCAAUGCCGCAUUUUCCCCCGAAACAGAGAAAAACCAGUGGAUGUAUAUUACAAUAUAACCGGUUGAUAUUAUUUUUCAUGUUUUAUUUUUAGAUGCUUUCUUUUGGUCAUCUACAAAAAAAAGCUAAAAACUGGAAACCGCAACGCAGUUUUUUAUAAAAUCGUAACAAAAGUAAAUGAAGACUCCAGCAACGAGACACACGCACAGAUGAACACAGAUGUGACAAGAACCUUUCUGCUGCACAGCGGCGGACGGGCAGCAUUUAGUCACCUCUCAACCACAUCUUGGUUUGCGUCUCAUUAAAAAUGUUUGCCUGGAUGACACCAUGCUGUCUUCAACCAACUGUGACCAUGUCAUCUGUUCCGAGGUUCGGUAAACUCUUCUUGGCGUAGCUGUCUUUUAGAUAUGAAGUCAAAUUGUUUCUAAUGAUCUACUAGAAUAGAGCAAGUAAUUCCAUUUUAAAAAAAAGAAAAGAAAAGACGUGUUAAAAUGACACAAAUGAUGACAGCAAGCAACUAAGAGGCAAAACCAAAAACUCUUUUCCUCUACUGCGAAUGGAUUUAAUUGAACUAAUUGACAUGAUAGAGUGAUAAAGUAUUUUUUAGAUUGUAAUGUGUUAUAAUAAACGUGUGUUUAGUCAUUCAUUAAUAAAACAAUAAUAAUCAGAUCUAGUUUUUUCGAUGUGCAAAUGACAGAGAAAUGUACACCUAUACAAACACAUUGAUUUCAAUAUAAACAAUGUUAAGCACUUGGUUCAUUUUUGGGGAAAUCAAUCAAUUCUGGCACAGAGUUUAAAGCAGAUUGCACCAUGUUUCCACAGUAAAAAG
Molecule: long non-coding RNA, 2510 nt
Organism: Pungitius pungitius (ninespine stickleback)
Lineage: Eukaryota; Metazoa; Chordata; Actinopteri; Perciformes; Gasterosteidae
Exons: 4
Source: RefSeq, a predicted model, not a curated record